GUAUUUCUCCUGUGUAACUGGAACUUUGUAUCCUUUGACCAACGUCUCCACUUGGCCCAUCCCAACUGCCUUCCCCGAUCCGUUGGUAACCACCAAUAUGCUCUCAGCUCAUUCACAUUGAACUUCUCUCGAUUCGACAUAUACCACUCAUUAGGUGAAUAAACAAUAUUCCCUAUACCUAUAGAGUGGAAUACCACCCAGCAUCCUCUCACAUACAAAGAAAGAACAAAUUGCUGAUAGACACAGAUGUCCAUCAAUCUCAAAAGUCGUCAUGUCUGUGGAUCCAUACGGUUAAUACCACCUGUAGUCAGCAUUCUGAAAAGGGAACAGGCCAUAUGAGGACAUCGAGAGACGGGACUGUCUACAAGCCAAGAAGGGAGGAUUCUUUCUGAAAAAGGAGAAACCAAACCUGCAAGCACCUUGAUAUUGGACUUCCAGCCCCAAGAAUGUGAGAAAUAAAUUUCUGCUGUUUAAGC
This is a long non-coding RNA of Homo sapiens (human), 476 nucleotides long. Ensembl annotates it as long intergenic non-protein coding RNA 879. Lineage: Eukaryota; Metazoa; Chordata; Mammalia; Primates; Hominidae. The record is from Ensembl.